AAGCUCGUAGUUGAAUUUCGGGAUCAGUAGGUUGGUCAUGCCUAUGGUAUGCACUGGCUUUACUGGUUCCUCCUUCUUGAUGAUCUGUAAUGUCAUUAAUUUGGUGUUGCAGGGAGUCAGGACUGUUACUUUGAAAAAAUUAGAGUGUUUAAAGCAGGCAUACGCUUGAAUACAUUAGCAUGGAAUAAUGAAAUAGGACGUUCGAACCUAUUUUGUUGGUUUCUAGGAUUGACGUAAUGAUUAAUAGGGAUAGUUGGGGGCAUUAGUAUUCAAUUGUCAGAGGUGAAAUUCUUGGAUUUAUUGAAGACUAACUACUGCGAAAGCAUUUGCCAAGGAUGUUUUCAUUAAUCAAGAACGAAAGUUAGGGGAUCGAAGACGAUCAGACACCGUCGUAGUUUUAACCAUAAACUAUGCCGACUAGGGAUCGGAUGAUGUUAAUUUUUUAAUGACUCAUUCGGCGCCUUACGGGAAACCAAAGUGUUUGGGUUCCGGGGGGAGUAUGGUCGCAAGGCUGAAACUUAAAGGAAUUGACGGAAGGGCACCACCAGGGGUGGAGCCUGCGGCUUAAUUUGACUCAACACGGGGAAA
Molecule: ribosomal RNA, 588 nt
Filed under: uncultured Glomus
Lineage: Eukaryota; Fungi; Glomeromycota; Glomeromycetes; Glomerales; Glomeraceae
Description: SSU rRNA
Rfam family: Eukaryotic small subunit ribosomal RNA
Source: RNAcentral